This 393-nucleotide ribosomal RNA is filed under the name Ailurus fulgens (lesser panda). RNAcentral describes it as "partial 12S ribosomal RNA". It matches the Rfam family "Bacterial small subunit ribosomal RNA", at positions 794 to 1384 of the family's 1533-position model. Lineage: Eukaryota; Metazoa; Chordata; Mammalia; Carnivora; Ailuridae. The record is from RNAcentral.
GCUUAGCCCUAAACAUAAAUAGUUUAGUAUAACAAAACUAUUCGCCAGAGAACUACUAGCAAUAGCCUAAAACUCAAAGGACUUGGCGGUGCUUUACACCCCUCUAGAGGAGCCUGUUCUAUAAUCGACAAACCCCGAUAAACCUUACCACUUCUAGCUACUUCAGUCUAUAUACCGCCAUCUUCAGCAAACCCUCAAAAGGAAGCAAAGUAAGCAUAAUAAUCCCUGCAUAAAAAAGUUAGGUCAAGGUGUAACCCAUGAAGUGGAAAGAAAUGGGCUACAUUUUCUAAACAAGAACAUUAUACGAAAGUUUUUAUGAAAUUAAAACCUAAAGGUGGAUUUAGUAGUAAAUUAAGAAUAGAGAGCUUAAUUGAAUUGGGCUAUAAAGCACGC